GAUGAACGCUAGCGGGAGGCCUAACACAUGCAAGCCGAGCGGUAUUGUUUCUUCGGAAAUGAGAGAGCGGCGUACGGGUGCGUAACACGUGUGCAACCUGCCUUUAUCUGGGGGAUAGCCUUUCGAAAGGAAGAUUAAUACUCCAUAAUAUAUUGAACGGCAUCGUUUAAUAUUGAAAGCUCCGGCGGAUAGAGAUGGGCACGCGCAAGAUUAGCUAGUUGGUGAGGUAACGGCUUACCAAGGCGAUGAUCUUUAGGGGGCCUGAGAGGGUGAUCCCCCACACUGGUACUGAGACACGGACCAGACUCCUACGGGAGGCAGCAGUGAGGAAUAUUAGUCAAUGGGUGCAAGCCUGAACCAGCCAUCCCGCGUGAAGGACGACUGCCCUAUGGGUUGUAAACUUCUUUUGUAUAGGGAUAAACCUACCCUCGAGAGGGUAGCUGAAGGUACUAUACGAAUAAGCACCGGCUAACUCCGU
This 478-nucleotide ribosomal RNA is filed under the name uncultured bacterium. RNAcentral's name for it is "partial 16S ribosomal RNA". It matches the Rfam family "Bacterial small subunit ribosomal RNA", at positions 28 to 506 of the family's 1533-position model. The record is from RNAcentral.